Molecule: long non-coding RNA, 1593 nt
Organism: Equus caballus (horse)
Lineage: Eukaryota; Metazoa; Chordata; Mammalia; Perissodactyla; Equidae
Source: Ensembl
GCUCCUUCCAUGGCAACAGCCGCCCUCCCUCCCGCGCUGCCUCUGCCGCCUUCCUCCCUGCUCCUUCUCCCUGCAGCCCACUCCGGUCCCCAGAGCCAGGCCUCCCGAGCGGGUUGGCACACCCUUUGGGCAGGUGGCCAGUCCGUCCAUCCGAGGAGGAGGAGCAAGUAGGCCUUCACUAACGCAAACACCAAGCCCCGCCAGGGCUGGACCCCCCGAAUGGCCAGGCUCUGUCCUUCCUGGGGGCACCGUAUUCAAGGACCUCUGAAAAGAGCUCUGAAAAGCUCUGGCUGGAGCUAGGUUUGAGGAAACAAAGGAGAGAAGGAAUAUUUUUUACUGUCACCCGGUGGCAGAGAGGCAGAGAAGCCAGCGAUUUAAACACGAGCGCAUCCUGACAUCUUCCAAUGGGCCCCAGCGCCCAAAGUGUGGACCCCACAAGUUCCUUACAGGACUCGAAGCCCCAGGUCACCAUGGGACCUAAUGCCACAGGUCCUGCAAGCCGUGCGCGCUGCUGCCCGCUCCCGCACUGCUCCUCCCUCCUGAGGCUCCUGCCACAUCAGCCAUCUUUCUGUCCCCUUAGCACUCCACGCAUUCCUGCCGGAGACCUUUGAACUUGCCGUUCUCUGCCUGGGAGGCUCGCUGCCAUUUACACCAGGCCGGGAACUCGGCAUUGAGUCUCCACUCAAAUGCCAGCUCCCCAGAGAGGCAGCCCUCCUCCCGCUGUCACUAUCAGGCCCCCUUUCCUUGCCUUCACAACAGGUGUCGCUAUUUGCAACCACUCUGUUCUGCUGAUUUGUCUGUGAGUUCCUGCGCGCCCUCGUCCUGUGAGGGCCUCGUCUGGCUGGGAGCCUGCGUGCUGGCACCGAGAAGGGACUUGCCCCAGAUCAUGCGGGGGCAGGUGGUGAAGCCAGGAUGGGAGCCUCGUGUGUCGGCUCAGAGCCUUUCCCACCCGACAAGUCCCACCUCCUGCUGCUGGAAGAGGAUGGGGACCAGCCUGGGGACAGCUCCCAUCUGUAGUGGCUCCUCUCUGAGCUGCUCUCAGGGAACCAGAGGCAAGGACUGGAGCUGCAGUGGGUGGAGGAGCGGGUUGGAAACCAGAAGUACAGUGAACAUUUACUGGGGAGCCACCUCACACUGGGCUGUAGGCUGAGUGCUGGACAGGGUCGUCUUCCCUGCUUAAAGCUCCAGGGCACCAAGUGCUACAGCUGCCCCCACGGCACGGAUUGGGAAACCGAGGCCAGAGAGGCGGCCAGCUGGGAGACCCUGGAGCCUGGCCUCCCACCCUCCUCCAGGCCUCCCGGGCCUGUGCAGGUGAGGACAGGAAGCUGCCCAGCGCAGUGGGUUUGGCUCCUGCGGAAGCCGUGAGCUGGCCCACGUCCAGGUACCAGUGGGAGCAGCGCUGAGGAUCACGGGACGCCUGGUGCUGAGAGCCAGUUGCUAGAAUGUGGAGGUGGGAGUAGCUGCUGCCUCUGGUUCCUGGUGGCCCCCAGCUCCUCCCUCCAGGCCACUCUCGCCUCCCUGGGCCUCCAGGGCCCCCCUGGACCUGCCCCGUCUCGUGGCUGGCCACAGCUCCGGUGGAUCAGCGCAUGGCCC